Caenorhabditis elegans is the source of this 75-nucleotide non-coding RNA. Lineage: Eukaryota; Metazoa; Nematoda; Chromadorea; Rhabditida; Rhabditidae. The record is from Ensembl.
UUGUAGAUGAACUGGUAGUCCACACGAUCUUGAUAGACUCUCGAGUCGAUGUAGUCGAGGAUCUUGUUGAGUUCA